UGAAAGUUCUUGAUAUUUUGGUGUCUUU
Molecule: non-coding RNA, 28 nt
Filed under: Mus musculus (house mouse)
Lineage: Eukaryota; Metazoa; Chordata; Mammalia; Rodentia; Muridae
Source: RNAcentral